AGAGUUUGAUCCUGGCUCAGGACGAACGCUGGCGGCGUGCCUAAUACAUGCAAGUCGAGCGAGCUUGCCUAGAUGAUUUUAGUGCUUGCACUAAAUGAAACUAGAUACAAGCGAGCGGCGGACGGGUGAGUAACACGUGGGUAACCUGCCCAAGAGACUGGGAUAACACCUGGAAACAGAUGCUAAUACCGGAUAACAACACUAGACGCAUGUCUAGAGUUUGAAAGAUGGUUCUGCUAUCACUCUUGGAUGGACCUGCGGUGCAUUAGCUAGUUGGUAAGGUAACGGCUUACCAAGGCAAUGAUGCAUAGCCGAGUUGAGAGACUGAUCGGCCACAUUGGGACUGAGACACGGCCCAAACUCCUACGGGAGGCAGCAGUAGGGAAUCUUCCACAAUGGACGAAAGUCUGAUGGAGCAACGCCGCGUGAGUGAAGAAGGGUUUCGGCUCGUAAAGCUCUGUUGGUAGUGAAGAAAGAUAGAGGUAGUAAAUGGCCUUUAUUUGACGGUAAUUACUUAGAAAGUCACGGCUAACUACGUGCCAGCAGCCGCGGUAAUACGUAGGUGGCAAGCGUUGUCCGGAUUUAUUGGGCGUAAAGCGAGUGCAGGCGGUUCAAUAAGUCUGAUGUGAAAGCCUUCGGCUCAACCGGAGAAUUGCAUCAGAAACUGUUGAACUUGAGUGCAGAAGAGGAGAGUGGAACUCCAUGUGUAGCGGUGGAAUGCGUAGAUAUAUGGAAGAACACCAGUGGCGAAGGCGGCUCUCUGGUCUGCAACUGACGCUGAGGCUCGAAAGCAUGGGUAGCGAACAGGAUUAGAUACCCUGGUAGUCCAUGCCGUAAACGAUGAGUGCUAAGUGUUGGGAAGUUUUCGCCCUCUCGUGCUGCACCUAACCCAUUAAGCAUUCCGCCUGGGGAAUACAAACGCAAGGGUGAAAAUCAAAGAAAUUAACGGGGGCCCCCCACAACGGGGGGAGCAUGGGGUUUUAAUUCAAAAAAACCCCAAAAAAACCUUACCCGGUC
Molecule: ribosomal RNA, 1017 nt
Filed under: uncultured bacterium
Lineage: Bacteria
Description: bacterial SSU rRNA
Rfam family: Bacterial small subunit ribosomal RNA
Source: RNAcentral